UGACUUGAAGCCAAGUAAUAUCCUGUUGGACCUUGACAUGAUUGCUUAUGUCAGUGACUUUGGCCUAGCAAGAUGUCCAAACAUUACAUCAAAUGGAAAUGAAGGGCAUUCAAAAAGCUUUACUUUCCUAAAAGGAUCGAUAGGAUACAUCCCACCAGGUGAGAUAACCAUACUCAUACUCGUAAUGACUUAACUCUUUGUUUUUUUAUAGAAUUAUAGAGACUUGCAUAUAUAUUAUCUAAAUUAUUGCAUAAAAUAAAUUACAUGCAGAGUAUGGUAUGAAUGAAGUGAUAUCAACCAAGGGUGAUGUCUACAGUUUCGGUGUGUUUCUGUUAGAAAUGAUAACGGGGAGUAGGCCUACUGAUGAAAAGUUCAGUGACGGCACAAACCUUCAUGAACUUGUUGCAAGUGCUUUUCCUAAUAAUAUCUACGAGAUAGUUGAUCCCAGAAUGUUACAAGACGAAGUCAACGUAACAACAGUGAUGCAGAACUGCAUCAUUCCAUUGGUCAGAAUAGGUCUCUGCUGCUCCGUGGCAUCUCCUAAGGACCGAUGGCAAAUGGGACCAGUGUCUGCUGAACUCCUUAAGAUCAAGCAGAAAUUCUCAACCAUACAUGGUGUAAAGCAUCAGCAAGAUCAGUAGUGUUCUAUUUAAAAAUGGAAGUGGCUGUGCUGCUGAGCUACCUUCACUUUGUAAGUUUGUUCUUGCAGAACAAUUAAACUAUUUUAGGCAGAGUUCCAGCCGAGUUCUUAAAAAAAAAAAAGUGGGAAAAGCACCGAUCAAAUGGCAAGAUCUCAACCGAUCUGCACAACUAGUCUUCGAUCAAGUGCAAUUAUGUAUUCGCGGAAGCUGGAUUUGGGUCAGACUGCAAAUGGAGAAGGUGAAGAGCGGAGACGGAGGAAUAUGGAUCAAUCUCACACCGCAAAAUUCGCACAAAAUCAGAUGAUGGAUAGAUGAUGUAGAUAGAUAUACUACAUGGAUAGGGGGCGCACCUCCUUGCUGCUUGUGUGCACCCUCGGAGCCCUAGAUCCCGCCUCCCGCGCCGCUCCAGAUGGUCGGGCCUCGCCUCGGCAUAGAGCAAUCGCCCCCCGCCGGCCUACUACACCGGCCGCCAUGUCCUCACCGCACCUCGCGCGCUUUCGCACCGGCCAACGAAACAUUGGUCGCCGCAGGGAUCAGCACGGGCCACGAGCGCGCGCCACUGCUGGUGCCAGCCUCGGUGAGGGGGGCGGUGGCCUGUUGCCAAGGUGUGCUAUGCUACACGCUCGCCGUGGCGCCGCCGGCGUCGGCUGACGCUCGGCUCGUCAAGAGUGACCGGCUCGCAGAUUUGGAAGAGUUUAUUAAAAAUAAGAA
This 1352-nucleotide long non-coding RNA is filed under the name Oryza brachyantha (malo sina). RNAcentral's name for it is "long non-coding RNA (OBRA_LNC001788)". The record is from RNAcentral. Lineage: Eukaryota; Viridiplantae; Streptophyta; Magnoliopsida; Poales; Poaceae.